UGAUAAGAAGGGUUUUUUCUGCAUUUAGAUCCUUGACAAAUUUUUAUUUUAAAAAUAGUUCUGUCAAAAUUUAAUUUGUAAAAAUCGCCCUGAGCCUGCCACGCAGGCGUCACGUCAGCGCCACACGGACAGAGCUGGGCCCGUGUGUUAAGUUGAAUACGGUGAACCAUUCACCGUGUUCAAACACGGUGAAUGGUUCACCGUGUUUAGUACGUAUUUUUUGUAUAUUAAGAAGUGGAAUAAGGAGUAGGAAUGUCUAUAGGUAUAGAUAUUCGAAAUAUUAUCCGAAUUCAAACCCGAAUAAAUUAUAUAUAUAUAUAUAUACAUAAUUUAUUUUUAUUUAUUUAUACAAUAUAUAAAAUAUUUAAUAAUUUUUAUUUNNNNNNNNNNNNNNUCUAAGAAAUAAAAAUUAUUAAAUAUUUUAUAUAUUGUAUAAAUAAAUAAAAAUAAAUUAUAUAUAUAUAUAUAUAUAUAAAAUUUAUUCGGGUUUGGAUUCGGAUAAUAUUUCGGGUAUCCAUACCUAUUGAUAUCCCUACUCCUUAUUCCACUUUUCAAUAUACAAAAAAUACGUAAGAAACACGGUGAACCUGUUUAGACACGAUGAAUGAUUCACCAUGUUCAACUUAAUACCCUGGCCCCAGCCCUGCCCGCGUGGCGC
This 658-nucleotide long non-coding RNA is filed under the name Ananas comosus (pineapple). RNAcentral describes it as "long non-coding RNA (ACOM_LNC000139)". Lineage: Eukaryota; Viridiplantae; Streptophyta; Magnoliopsida; Poales; Bromeliaceae. The record is from RNAcentral.